This 1572-nucleotide long non-coding RNA is filed under the name Ananas comosus (pineapple). RNAcentral's name for it is "long non-coding RNA (ACOM_LNC016317)". The record is from RNAcentral. Lineage: Eukaryota; Viridiplantae; Streptophyta; Magnoliopsida; Poales; Bromeliaceae.
UUAGAAGUCACAAUUCAUUUUAUUUAUUUUAUUGGGGCAAUUGCUUAUAUACCCCUCAAACGUUUCUACUUUCUAAUUUACCCUUCUUACAAGGCUAAUAUUAAAAAUACUCUUUAUACGUUUCAACCUAUUUCAAAUAUACCCCUGGAGUUAAAAUUUGUUAAUGAACUAGAUCUAUUAUCUCUAUAAAAUUACUAUUUUGUCCUUUUCAAAUAUACAUUUUUACUAUGACUGACUUUUCUUAUUUAUCCUUAAGUUAGAGGCACAAAGAGUAUUUUAUUUUUUGGUCUUUAAUUUCAAAUAUAACCUUCUACCAUCACCGGCAUUUCUUAUUUGCCCUUAAGUUAAGGAUAAAAAUAAUAUUCUAAUUUUUUUUAACUAUAGUAAAUAUUUAACUCACGUUAAAUCCAAGUUAAUUUAACGGGUGGUAACUGUAGGAAUAUUUUGGAAUAACCAAGGAACAUAUGAGGGGUAUAUUGGAAAGAAAUAAAAAAUAGAGGUAAAUGAGAUAUUUUUGAAGUUUUAAGGGGGUAUAUAAGUAAUUAUCCCUAUUUUAUUUUAUAGAUGCUAUUUAUGUGUUUCAUCAUAUUAUUAUCUCGUUCAAAAUCCUAAAAAUUGAACACUCUUUUUUUAGAGAUAGGUAGCAGCUAUCCGCUUCAUUUAUUUGAUUAGCUGGAAAUAUAAAUCAAUCAGGAUUCGAACUCGAGAUCUCGGAUACCAACCACCAAGCCUUUUACCACUUGCUCUAGAGACAGUCAGUAAAAAAUAAAAUACUAUAAGUUCCUAUUAUGCUACUAUAUAUAUAUAUAUAGAGAGAGAGAGAGAGAGAGAGAGAGAGAGAGAGAGAAUCCCACUAUUAUACUCUUAUAAAUACAAUAAACUUUAUACUCAUAAGUCGUUUUCAAUAUUAAAGCUUUGGAAUUGACGAUUCAUACAGUUAAAUAUUAUCUAGAACAUUUAAAAUUUUUAAAAAUCAAAUUUCAUAAUUUUUUGAUAUUAUUUACCUUACAAUAAAAAGUUUUUAAAAUUGACAAUUUUUAACUGUGGUAUAGGAUACUUGCUAGUUUUACGGUAUACAAGAAUCGAAAUCGGUUGGAUUUUUGAUAGAAAAUUUUAUUCACUGUCAACAUAAGGAUCAAUAACUUCGAUUUUAAAUUGAAGGAUCCGAUCAUUUAUUUUUAGAAUAUCAUUCAAUUUUGAUCAUUAAUUUUAUGCCCGCUUGAUCGAUGGAUUUUAUUAUGGUUUCAACAAGUUACGAAAUUUAUUUUCUAAAAAUUUCAAAUACUCUAAAUCAUAUUUAGCAAUGUGGAUCGUUGAUUCGAAAACUUCACCAUCAAAAAUAAUUUAUGAUUAUCGACCGUCUCUAGCACAAGUAGCAAAAGGCUUGGUGGUUAGUACUCGAGGUUCCGUGUUCCAAUUCUAAUUAAUUCAUAUUUUCAGCUAAGUUUAUUUAUAAAUAAAAUAAACAACGCGGAUAGCAUGCUACUUAUCUCUAAAAAAAAAUUUAUUAUUACAAAAAAGUUUAUACUUAUACAAGUACAAUAGUCCUGCUCUCUCUCUCUCUAUAUAUUU